GAUGAACGCUGGCGGCGUGCCUAAUACAUGCAAGUCGAGCGAACAGACGAGGAGCUUGCUCCUCUGACGUUAGCGGCGGACGGGUGAUUAACACGUGGAUAACCUACCUAUAAGACUGGGAUAACUUCGGGAAACCGGAGCUAACACCGGAUAAUAUAUUGAACCGCAUGGUUCAAUAGUGAAAGACGGUUUUGCUGUCACUUAUAGAUGUAUCCGCGCCGCAUUAGCUAGUUGGUAAGGUAACGGCUUACCAAGGCAACGAUGCGUAGCCGACCUGAGAGGGUGAUCGGCCACACUGGAACUGAGACACGGUCCAGACUCCUACGGGAGGCAGCAGUAGGGAAUCUUCCGCAAUGGGCGAAAGCCUGACGGAGCAACGCCGCGUGAGUGAUGAAGGUCUUCGGAUCGUAAAACUCUGUUAUUAGGGAAGAACAAAUGUGUAAGUAACUAUGCACGUCUUGACGGUACCUAAUCAGAAAGCCACGGCUAACUACGUG
Molecule: ribosomal RNA, 497 nt
Filed under: uncultured bacterium
Lineage: Bacteria
Description: partial 16S ribosomal RNA
Rfam family: Bacterial small subunit ribosomal RNA
Source: RNAcentral